UGGGGAAUUUUGGACAAUGGGCGAAAGCCUGAUCCAGCAAUGCCGCGUGUGUGAAGAAGGCCUUCGGGUUGUAAAGCACUUUUGUCCGGAAAGAAAUCCUUGGCUCUAAUACAGUCGGGGGAUGACGGUACCCGGAAGAAUAAGCACCGGCUAACUACGUGCCAGCAGCCGCGGUAAUACGUAGGGUGCAAGCGUUAAUCGGAAUUACUGGGCGUAAAGCGUGCGCAGGCGGUUUGCUAAGACCGAUGUGAAAUCCCCGGGCUCAACCUGGGAACUGCAUUGGCUGACUGGCAGGCUAGAGUAUGGCAGAGGGGGGUAGAAUUCCACGUGUAGCAGUGAAAUGCGUAGAGAUGUGGAGGAAUACCGAUGGCGAAGGCAGCCCCUGGGCCAAUACUGACGCUCAUGCACGAAAGCGUGGGGAGCAAACAGGAUUAGAUACCCUGGUAGUCCAGCGCCCUAAACGAUGUCAACUAGUUGUUGGGGAUUCAUUCUUAGUAACGUAGCUAACGCGUGAAGUUGACCGCCUGGGGAGUACGGU
This 538-nucleotide ribosomal RNA is filed under the name uncultured bacterium. RNAcentral describes it as "partial 16S ribosomal RNA". It matches the Rfam family "Bacterial small subunit ribosomal RNA", at positions 355 to 886 of the family's 1533-position model. The record is from RNAcentral.